GUAACUGCGGAGGGAUCAUU
Molecule: ribosomal RNA, 20 nt
Filed under: Colletotrichum gloeosporioides
Lineage: Eukaryota; Fungi; Ascomycota; Sordariomycetes; Glomerellales; Glomerellaceae
Description: partial 18S ribosomal RNA
Source: RNAcentral